UCGCGCGUGGCUGGGCGAGCGCACGCUUUCCGCGUGCGUCGAAGAGGCGCUUGCGGGCGGUGCGACGUUCGUGCAGCUGCGCGAGAA
RNAcentral lists this transfer RNA (87 nucleotides) under Eggerthella lenta. RNAcentral's name for it is "tRNA-Glu(ttc)". Lineage: Bacteria; Bacillati; Actinomycetota; Coriobacteriia; Eggerthellales; Eggerthellaceae. The record is from RNAcentral.